UAGGGAAUCUUCCACAAUGGACGCAAGUCUGAUGGAGCAACGCCGCGUGAGUGAAGAAGGUUUUCGGCUCGUAAAGCUCUGUUGUUGGUGAAGAAGGAUAGAGGCAGUAACUGGUCUUUAUUUGACGGUAAUCAACCAGAAAGUCACGGCUAACUACGUGCCAGCAGCCGCGGUAAUACGUAGGUGGCAAGCGUUGUCCGGAUUUAUUGGGCGUAAAGCGAGCGCAGGCGGAAUGAUAAGUCUGAUGUGAAAGCCCACGGCUCAACCGUGGAACUGCAUCGGAAACUGUCAUUCUUGAGUGCAGAAGAGGAGAGUGGAAUUCCAUGUGUAGCGGUGGAAUGCGUAGAUAUAUGGAAGAACACCAGUGGCGAAGGCGGCUCUCUGGUCUGCAACUGACGCUGAGGCUCGAAAGCAUGGGUAGCGAACAGG
RNAcentral lists this ribosomal RNA (429 nucleotides) under bacterium. Its description in RNAcentral is "partial 16S ribosomal RNA". It matches the Rfam family "Bacterial small subunit ribosomal RNA", at positions 355 to 776 of the family's 1533-position model. The record is from RNAcentral.